Molecule: ribosomal RNA, 465 nt
Filed under: Vreelandella stevensii
Lineage: Bacteria; Pseudomonadati; Pseudomonadota; Gammaproteobacteria; Oceanospirillales; Halomonadaceae
Description: partial 16S ribosomal RNA
Rfam family: Bacterial small subunit ribosomal RNA
Source: RNAcentral
CCUACGGGGAGCAGCAGUGGGGAAUAUUGGACAAUGGGCGAAAGCCUGAUCCAGCCAUGCCGCGUGUGUGAAGAAGGCCUUCGGGUUGUAAAGCACUUUCAGUGGGGAAGAAAGCCUUGGGGCUAAUACCCUCGAGGAAGGACAUCACCCACAGAAGAAGCACCGGCUAACUCCGUGCCAGCAGCCGCGGUAAUACAGAGGGUGCGAGCGUUAAUCGGAAUUACUGGGCGUAAAGCGCGCGUAGGCGGUCUGAUAAGCCGGUUGUGAAAGCCCCGGGCUCAACCUGGGAACGGCAUCCGGAACUGUCAGGCUAGAGUGCAGGAGAGGAAGGUAGAAUUCCCGGUGUAGCGGUGAAAUGCGUAGAGAUCGGGAGGAAUACCAGUGGCGAAGGCGGCCUUCUGGACUGACACUGACGCUGAGGUGCGAAAGCGUGGGUAGCAAACAGGAUUAGAUACCCGUGUAGUC